AUGCACGCUGGCGGCGUGCCUCAUCCAUGCCAGUCGCGCGAACAGACGAGGAGCUUGCUCCUCUGACGUUAGCGGCGGACGGGUGAGUAACACGUGGAUAACCUACCUAUAAGACUGGGAUAACUUCGGGAAACCGGAGCUAAUACCGGAUAAUAUAUUGAACCGCAUGGUUCAAUAGUGAAAGACGGUUUUGCUGUCACUUAUAGAUGGAUCCGCGCCGCAUUAGCUAGUUGGUAAGGUAACGGCUUACCAAGGCAACGAUGCGUAGCCGACCUGAGAGGAUGAUCGGCCACACUGGAACUGAGACACGGUCCAGACUCCUACGGGAGGCAGCAGUAGGGAAUCUUCCGCAAUGGGCGAAAGCCUGACGGAGCAACGCCGCGUGAGUGAUGAAGGUCUUCGGAUCGUAAAACUCUGUUAUUAGGGAAGAACAAAUGUGUAAGUAACUAUGCACGUCUUGACGGUACCUAAUCAGAAAGCCACGGCUAACUACGUG
Molecule: ribosomal RNA, 496 nt
Filed under: uncultured bacterium
Lineage: Bacteria
Description: partial 16S ribosomal RNA
Rfam family: Bacterial small subunit ribosomal RNA
Source: RNAcentral